RNAcentral lists this ribosomal RNA (251 nucleotides) under uncultured bacterium. RNAcentral describes it as "partial 16S ribosomal RNA". It matches the Rfam family "Bacterial small subunit ribosomal RNA", at positions 526 to 776 of the family's 1533-position model. The record is from RNAcentral.
CGUAGGGACCAAGCGUUGUUCGGAUUUACUGGGCGUAAAGGGCGCGUAGGCGGCUUGACAAGUCACUUGUGAAAUCUCCGGGCUUAACUCGGAACGGCCAAGUGAAACUGUCAUGCUAGAGUGCAGAAGGGGCAAUCGGAAUUCUUGGUGUAGCGGUGAAAUGCGUAGAUAUCAAGAGGAACACCUGAGGUGAAGACGGGUUGCUGGGCUGACACUGACGCUGAGGCGCGAAAGCCAGGGGAGCAAACGGG